UUAUUGAUGUUUGAUAUGAGAUAUAUGCAUGUGAUACAUGGUAGAAUUGGUACUGUAAUUCGAAUUGCAUACUUUUGUUAUUGUGAGCAUGCUGUAGCGGUUAAGUUCUUGUAUAUAACUUGGUGCAAUUACUUGAUCACUAGCAUUACUCACUUUGUAUCAAAUAUCACUGUUCUUGUUUCAAGAUUGUGUUUACAUUUCUGCCUGAAUUCUUGAAAUUUUUCAAAACCAUUUUUUGCUCACUAGUUGAUCUUUAAUUCAAGAUUAAACUAUGUCCAUGAGUAUAG
This 287-nucleotide long non-coding RNA is filed under the name Olea europaea (common olive). Its description in RNAcentral is "long non-coding RNA (OEUR_LNC006855)". The record is from RNAcentral. Lineage: Eukaryota; Viridiplantae; Streptophyta; Magnoliopsida; Lamiales; Oleaceae.